UUAAAUCCAUAAAAUAAUAAUUUAAAAAUAGAUUUGACUGAUAUGACUGUGACUCAAUCGAUAAUAUGGUUUGAUUCAACUUUUUGAACAGGAUAAGUCUUAAAAAAUCAUUUGAACGUUCGAACUGCCGCUUGACAAUCGAAUAAAUAAAUUGGUUGGUUUUAAUCAAAUCGGUAAGAUUUUUUUUGAUCAAAUUAUAUUAAAAUCCAACUGCUUAAAACAAAUUUAAAUAAUUUUAUUUUCCAUUAAUAUAAAUUAAUUUUAUAAAAAAUAAAAUUUAUAUAUUUAUAUCUACUUAAUUUGAUCUUAGAUUAGACUAAAUAAUCUUUACUCCCAUAUCGGCCGAUAUCCUAUCAGCCGACCUGUAGAUUGACAGGUACAUAUUAAUAUUUCAACUAAAAAAUCAGGAAUAAAAUCAAUUCGAUUUUUAAAGCAUAGUAGACCUAUAAUUUAUGGGUUAUACCGACUCUCCACACCCUUCUACCUACAUGGUUUACCACCAUUUAUUAUUUAGAGUUAAUUUCAUAAAAGUCCCUAAAAACAUAAUAAAUUGUAAAUAUAUUUUUGUAAAGUUUAAUUUUUAUAUAUUAUUUCUACAAAAAUUUUAAUAUUUUCAAAUAUAUCUCUCUGAUUUUUUUCUGUUAAAAUACUGUUUAUUUUAUAAAUAAAAUAACCUUUUUGCCAUCACAGAUAUGUCCCUUCAAAAAUCUCAACUAUUAAUUAAUUCACCUUAUUAACUAAUUAAAGUUAAGUAUUUUAUUCAUGGUUAACUAAUUUUUUCUAAAAAAUUAAACUUUAUGGGGAGAUAUUUGCAAUUCAUUAUAUUUAUAGAGAUCUACAUGAAAUUACCGAUAUUAUUUAUUGGGGCAAUUGCUUAUAUACCCGUGAAAAGUUUCCGACUUUCUGAUUUAUCCUUCUUAGAAGGUUAAUAUUGAAAAUACCAUUUUUACGUUUCAAUCUAUUUUUAAUAUACCCUUAUAGUUAAAAUCUGUUAAUGAAUUCUGUUAUCUUUAUAAAAUUACUAUUUUUUUCUUUCAAAUAUAUCCUUCUACCAUCACUGACUUUUUUUAUUUGCCCUUAAGUCAGGGGUACAAAAAUAUUUUAUUUUUUGAUCUUUUCACCAACAUUUCUUAUUUGCCCUUAAGUUAAUGGCAAAAGUGACAUUUUAAUUUUUUUAACUGUGGUAGAUAUUUAACUCAUGUUUAAUUCAAGUUAACUUAACGGAUGGGCAACUAUAGAAAUAUUUUGGAACAACGGAGGAACGUAUGAGAGGGGAUAUUUCCCCAAUUUUAAGAGGUAUUUAGGCAAUUAUCCCUUAUUUAUUAUUUAUUAUUUAUUACAUUAUAAC
This 1348-nucleotide long non-coding RNA is filed under the name Ananas comosus (pineapple). RNAcentral's name for it is "long non-coding RNA (ACOM_LNC016101)". Lineage: Eukaryota; Viridiplantae; Streptophyta; Magnoliopsida; Poales; Bromeliaceae. The record is from RNAcentral.